Molecule: ribosomal RNA, 250 nt
Filed under: uncultured prokaryote
Description: partial 16S ribosomal RNA
Rfam family: Bacterial small subunit ribosomal RNA
Source: RNAcentral
UACGUAGGUGGCAAGCGUUGUCCGGAUUUACUGGGCGUAAAGGGCGUGUAGGCGGGAUUGUAAGUCAGAUGUGAAAUCUCCGGGCUUAACUCGGAGUCUGCAUUUGAAACUACGGUUCUUGAGUAUCGGAGAGGCAGGCGGAAUUCCUCGUGUAGCGGUGAAAUGCGUAGAUAUGAGGAGGAACACCAGUGGCGAAGGCGGCCUGCUGGACGACAACUGACGCUGAGGCGCGAAAGCGUGGGGAGCAAAC